Molecule: ribosomal RNA, 235 nt
Filed under: uncultured bacterium
Lineage: Bacteria
Description: partial 16S ribosomal RNA
Rfam family: Bacterial small subunit ribosomal RNA
Source: RNAcentral
CGUAAACAACCUGCCUUAAGGAUGGGGAUAACAGACGGAAACGACUGCUAAUACCGAAUACGUUCUAAGCAUCGCAUGGUGCAUAGAAGAAAGGGUGGCCUCUACAAGAAAGCUAUCGCCUUAAGAGGGGUUUGCGACUGAUUAGGUAGUUGGUGAGGUAACGGCUCGCCAAGCCGACGAUCAGUAGCCGGUCUGAGAGGAUGAACGGCCACACUGGAACUGAGACACGGUCCAG